CCGGGACGUACGCGACCUACGGCCUGGCCGAGUACGAAGACGGGAAUACGGCGUACGUAAUCGCAGGUCGACGCGAUACUGCGGUGAAGUCGUUACCGGGCCGUUGUACCGUACACCGUCGAACGCGCCGUCGACUCGUAGUCCAGCGGUUAGGUACCGGGCGACGACUAGGAGACUACGGCACGGGAGAACCGUAGGAGGAAGGUGGGGAUGACGUCAAAUCAUCACUGCCCCCUUAUGAUUGGGCUACACACUGCGUACAAUGGCGUAAACAACGGGAACGCGAACCCGUGAGGGGAAGCCAAAUACCUCAAAAAUAACGUCUCAGUUCGGAUUGUAGUCUGCAACUCGACUACAUGAAGCUGGAAUCGCUAGUAAUCGCGAAUCAGCAUGUCGCGGUGAAUACGUUCCCGGGUCUUGUACACACCGCCCGUCACACCAUGGGAGUCGGAAAUACCCGAAGUCAGUGACCCAACCGUAAGGAGGGAGCUGCCGAAGGUAGAGCCGAUAACUGGGGUGAAGUCGUAACAAGGUAGCCGUAUCGGAAGGUGCGGCUGGAUCACCUCGUCGACGCGGCCG
This 579-nucleotide ribosomal RNA is filed under the name uncultured Clostridium sp. Its description in RNAcentral is "bacterial SSU rRNA". It matches the Rfam family "Bacterial small subunit ribosomal RNA", at positions 1087 to 1533 of the family's 1533-position model. Lineage: Bacteria; Bacillati; Bacillota; Clostridia; Eubacteriales; Clostridiaceae. The record is from RNAcentral.